RNAcentral lists this unclassified non-coding RNA (254 nucleotides) under fungal sp. RNAcentral's name for it is "partial contains 5.8S ribosomal RNA, internal transcribed spacer 2, and large subunit ribosomal RNA". Lineage: Eukaryota; Fungi. The record is from RNAcentral.
CGCACAUUGCGCCCAUUAGUAUUCUAGUGGGCAUGCCUGUUCGAGCGUCAUUAAUACCAUUAAGCCCUGUCGCUUAGCGUUGGGAGCCCGCUGGCCCUAGGCUUGCAGCUCCUCAAAAUUAGUGGCGGAGUUAGUGCAUACUCUAGGCGUAGUAAUUACCACUCGCUUCUGUAGUUGUGCUGGCGCCUGCCGUAAAACAGCCCAAUUUUUAAAGGUUUGACCUCGGAUCAGGUAGGAAUACCCGCUGAACUUAA